AGCCAAGUCGUGAGGCAGAGCUAAUCCCUUAAAGCCAUUCUCAGUUCGGAUUGUAGGCUGAAACUCGCCUACAUGAAGCUGGAGUUACUAGUAAUCGCAGAUCAGAAUGCUGCGGUGAAUGCGUUCCCGGGUCUUGUACACACCGCCCGUCACACCACGGAAGUUGGGGGCGCCCGAAGCCACUUAGCUAAUCCAUUUGGGAAGCGAGUGUCGAAGGUGAAAUCAAUAACUGGGGUGAAGUCGUAACAAGGUAAC
RNAcentral lists this ribosomal RNA (255 nucleotides) under uncultured bacterium. Its description in RNAcentral is "partial 16S ribosomal RNA". It matches the Rfam family "Bacterial small subunit ribosomal RNA", at positions 1248 to 1500 of the family's 1533-position model. The record is from RNAcentral.